RNAcentral lists this non-coding RNA (165 nucleotides) under uncultured Cetobacterium sp. RNAcentral's name for it is "Lysine riboswitch". It matches the Rfam family "Lysine riboswitch aptamer". Rfam says of the family: Riboswitches are metabolite binding domains within certain messenger RNAs that serve as precision sensors for their corresponding targets. Allosteric rearrangement of mRNA structure is mediated by ligand binding, and this results in modulation of gene expression. Lineage: Bacteria; Fusobacteriati; Fusobacteriota; Fusobacteriia; Fusobacteriales; Fusobacteriaceae. The record is from RNAcentral.
UUGAUAGAGGUUGCGAAAUUCAAAAGUAAACAAACUAAGAUUUAGUAGGUCAAAGAGGUUUGUUGAAAGGGAAGUUCGCCGAAGUUCAACUUUUUCUACUAGAAAGAUGAGCUGGGUGUAUAAAGAAGAUUUAUACAACUGUCACCGAAAUGGUGUUGUGCUAUC